UUCAAGCACUUGGUGCGUCGAGUCUUUGAAUUGACUCCACCAGGCGAUCUACCAUCGGAGUCGAUCACGAAAUUGAUCUGCGCUUAUGACAUCAUGGAUACGACUCAUUUGCGUAGUAAGACGACAACAACUAUUGACCGCAAGGCUGGAAGUUGACACCCACUAUGAAAGGCCUCUCCACCAUCGCACCCGUGACUUGCUCCACGCGUUGCGAUUGACGAAUAUUAAAAGAUUAUGUCUGUAGUGGAAUUCUGCCCAAGUGGAAGACCAUUUUUUUUUUCUAUUUCUUUCUCUCUCUCUCUCUUUUAGGCCC
Molecule: long non-coding RNA, 313 nt
Filed under: Elaeis guineensis (African oil palm)
Lineage: Eukaryota; Viridiplantae; Streptophyta; Magnoliopsida; Arecales; Arecaceae
Description: long non-coding RNA (EGUI_LNC036764)
Source: RNAcentral